Chionomys nivalis (European snow vole) is the source of this 110-nucleotide small nuclear RNA. NCBI's taxonomy places the organism in Eukaryota, Metazoa, Chordata, Mammalia, Rodentia, Cricetidae. The record is from RefSeq and is a predicted model, not a curated record.
GUGCUCAGUUUGGCAGCCCAAAUACAAAAUUUGAAAUGACACAGAGAAGAUUACCACAGUCCCUUGUGUGCAAGGAUAACACACAAAUUUGUGAAGCUUUCUAUAUUCUU